RNAcentral lists this ribosomal RNA (503 nucleotides) under uncultured Lactococcus sp. RNAcentral describes it as "bacterial SSU rRNA". It matches the Rfam family "Bacterial small subunit ribosomal RNA", at positions 355 to 850 of the family's 1533-position model. The record is from RNAcentral. Lineage: Bacteria; Bacillati; Bacillota; Bacilli; Lactobacillales; Streptococcaceae.
UAGGGAAUCUUCGGCAAUGGACGAAAGUCUGACCGAGCAACGCCGCGUGAGUGAAGAAGGUUUUCGGAUCGUAAAACUCUGUUGGUAGAGAAGAACGUUGGUGAGAGUGGAAAGCUCAUCAAGUGACGGUAACUACCCAGAAAGGGACGGCUAACUACGUGCCAGCAGCCGCGGUAAUACGUAGGUCCCGAGCGUUGUCCGGAUUUAUUGGGCGUAAAGCGAGCGCAGGUGGUUUAUUAAGUCUGGUGUAAAAGGCAGUGGCUCAACCAUUGUAUGCAUUGGAAACUGGUAGACUUGAGUGCAGGAGAGGAGAGUGGAAUUCCAUGUGUAGCGGUGAAAUGCGUAGAUAUAUGGAGGAACACCGGUGGCGAAAGCGGCUCUCUGGCCUGUAACUGACACUGAGGCUCGAAAGCGUGGGGAGCAAACAGGAUUAGAUACCCUGGUAGUCCACGCCGUAAACGAUGAGUGCUAGAUGUAGGGAGCUAUAAGUUCUCUGUAUCGCA